Molecule: ribosomal RNA, 180 nt
Filed under: uncultured Glomeromycotina
Lineage: Eukaryota; Fungi; Glomeromycota
Description: partial small subunit ribosomal RNA
Source: RNAcentral
GGAUCAAUUAACUGGUCGUGCCUAUGGUACGUACUGGUUUUGUUGGUUUCUCCCUCUGACGAGCCGCGAUGUCAUUAACUUGGUGUCGCGGGGAAUCAGACUGUUACUUUGAAAAAAUUAGAGUGUUCAAAGCAGGCGUAACCUUGCCAUUGAAUAUUACAGCAUGGGAUAAUAGAAUAU